GAGGGUGUAGUUCAGUAGUAGAGUGUGUGCUUAGCAUGCACAAAGUCCUGGAUUCAAUCCCCAGUACCUCCA
Molecule: transfer RNA, 72 nt
Filed under: Camelus bactrianus (Bactrian camel)
Lineage: Eukaryota; Metazoa; Chordata; Mammalia; Artiodactyla; Camelidae
Also listed under: 2 other names
Rfam family: tRNA
About the family: Transfer RNA (tRNA) molecules are approximately 80 nucleotides in length. Their secondary structure includes four short double-helical elements and three loops (D, anti-codon, and T loops).
Source: Rfam by way of RNAcentral